Non-coding RNA from Paramuricea clavata, 504 nucleotides. Lineage: Eukaryota; Metazoa; Cnidaria; Anthozoa; Malacalcyonacea; Plexauridae. The record is from the annotation of a GenBank genome assembly.
AAAAAUUUUAAAUACAUUAUCAUAAAAAGCCUACCUGACGCGAGAGGCACCUUGAUCAACUAGCUUGAAGGAUUCUGUGCAAUUGGACGCCCGCAAAAUGGGCUAUUUAUGGGGCAAUUAAAUCAUUGGAUUUUGCUGCCAGCGUGGAUAGUGACAACAACACCAGAAAGCUGCAGAUUGAGAUGGAUACAACUACCUGAAUGAUACAAGCAAAACGUCGACGUUUCGAGCGAAGCCCUUAAACGAGAACGACGAAGUGCCGACAGUUACUGACGAAGGGCCUUCGCUCAAAACGUAGAAGUUUUACUUUUAUUUUUUAGGUAGUUGAAUCCCUUUCGAUCCGCAAUUUUCUGAAAGAAGUCGGCAGCUUUAUUCCUGGGUUAGGGUUAGGGGUUAGUGGUUAGGGGGGUGGGGGUUAGAGGUUAGGGUUAGGGUGGGGGUUAGGGUUAACAACCCAAUACUUAUUGGGUUGUUAAGCUUAACAAUUACAAUACUAUAUUGUUG